CCCUAAAUCUACAAUCAGAAAGGGAAAGAAAGGGAACGGGGAGCUCGAGGGGGAAAACAGAAAGGGAAAAGAAAGGAAGGGGAAAGAGGGAAGGCAGGGGAAAAACGGAGGUGAAGAGAGGGAGGAGGAAGCUGCGACGCGGCCAAGACCUCACUGCUGCCGCUGUUGUGCUGCACAUGAGAGUGAGAGAGAGACACACACAGGACGAGCGUCGCGAGAAUCAAGGGAGGGAGACACGGUUCCGUCCUGUUGCCGUUGUGGGUUGCGCCUGAUCACCAUCGCAGAAGCUCCAUCGUCGCUGUUGCACAUAAGAGGAGAAGAUGAUUUCGCUGAUUUUGAUUCUGUCUAAGCCCGCAUCGUUGCUGGAAUCGCGAACCGGGGAGGAGAGGGAGGCUGCUUCCAUCGUCAUUUCAGGUGUCAGAAAAGACCGUCGCCAUUGAAGGAUCCACCGCCGCCGAAUCCCAGCCAUCAUCGCCGCCGGAGUCACCGUGGUUGCCGCUGGAGAAGUGCUAUGAAUGCCGCUGCUGAUGUUAGCACGCAAGGGGGGAAGAGCCCGUCCUUGCCGAUUCUGCCGCCGUCAAAGGGAAAAGGAAGUGAGAGCACCGGUACGGAACGCGAGAAAGGAAUCGUCGCCAAAACCGGAACAGAUUCACCGGACGGACACCCUGGUCUCUGGUUCCUAUUAUUCUGAGUACCAAAGCUGUUGCUCCAUUCCCGUCUUUCCUUGCCAUUAUUAAUUUUCCCCCCAAAGUUGCUGUUGCUGCUAUUAGAGUUGUGGUUGAUGCUGUUAUCCUCGCGUUAGAACAUGGAGGGUUGCUGCAUUUCCGAUUUUGUGUGGUUAAUGCGACAUCGAGUGACACAGGUUUGAAGACGCAACUUGAAGCUGCGAGCGAUUAGUAGGUUUUCUUUAUGGUUUUAAUUGGUCUGGUAGAGUCCCCUCGCCGAUUGUCCCUUGAGAUUUUGUUUCAUAUAGAGGGGUAUGUUUGGUAUAUUGUAUUUGAGUUUUAUUUGGUUUCUUUUGUAUAAGAAUUAUUAUCAAUAAUAUUUAUGUGAUUACUAUUGUUUGUUGGAAACCUAUGAUAUAUGUCUUUAAAGAACAAAAACAAAAUUUUCUAGCAUUUCCUUAAAACUGAAACGCGAAAUCGAUACAAAGGCUCAGUAAUUAAGUAGUUAAUAUUAGAAAAGGUCACGUAACGUUCUUUCUAGUAGAAAUACCCUGACUUAAGCAAGGUAUUUUGCUGGAAGGGAUGUUACAUGUUCAGCCUGAUCUGGAGGAGCCAGAGAAAAUAGAGGAACCUCUGAAAAUUCCUCAAUUAGAAGAAAAGCCUCCCAAACCUGAGCUCAAACCACUACCACCAUCCUUGAAAUAUGCAUUUCUAGGAGAAGACAACACUUUUCCUGUGAUAAUAAGCUCUACCUUAAAGCCACAGGAAGAGGAAGCACUGGUUCAAGUGCUAAGGACACACAAGACAGCUCUUGGGUGGUCCAUCAGUGAUCUUAAGGGCAUUAGCCCAGCCAGAUGCAAGCACAAGAUUCUCUUGGAGGAUAAUGCUAAGCCAGUGAUUCAACUACAAAGGCGACUGAAUCCAGCCAUGAAGGAAGUGGUGCAGAAAGAGGUCACUAAAUUACUAGAGGCUGGGAUUAUUUAUCCAGUUUCUGAUAUCCCCUGGGUGAGCCCUGUCCAAGUCGUCCCCAAGAAGGGAGGCAUGACAGUAGUUCAUAAUGAGAAAACUGAACUGGUUCCCACAAGAACAGUUACAGGGUGGCGCAUGUGUAUUGACUACAGAAGACUCAAUAUAGCCACCAGAAAGGAUGAUUUUCCUUUACCAUUCAUAGACCAGGUGCUAGAAAGACUACCAGGUCAUGAUUAGUACUACUUUUUGGAUGGCUAUUCAGGCUACAACCAAGUUGCAGUAGAUCCCCAGGAUCAAGAGAAAAUAGCAUUCACAUGUCCAUUUAGAGUAUUUGCCUACAGAAGGAUGCCAUUUGUGCUGUGUAAUUGACGAUUGGAUUUUUGACGGUUUAGAAUUUUACAAAUGAAAUCUCGUCGAAGUAUAGUCUCUAAACCAACAAUAAUCCUCUCAUACAAAAAUUUGUU
Arachis stenosperma is the source of this 2098-nucleotide long non-coding RNA. RefSeq lists it as uncharacterized. The transcript has 4 exons. NCBI's taxonomy places the organism in Eukaryota, Viridiplantae, Streptophyta, Magnoliopsida, Fabales, Fabaceae. The record is from RefSeq and is a predicted model, not a curated record.